RNAcentral lists this small RNA (441 nucleotides) under Pan troglodytes (chimpanzee). RNAcentral describes it as "processed transcript". The record is from RNAcentral. Lineage: Eukaryota; Metazoa; Chordata; Mammalia; Primates; Hominidae.
GGUGCCGACUACAAGCGAAUUACUGUGAAAGUCAAUGCCCCAUACAACAAAAUCAACCAAAGAAUUUUGGUUGUGGAUCCAGUCACCUCUGAACAUGAACUGACAUGUCAGGCUGAGGGCUACCCCAAGGCCGAAGUCAUCUGGACAAGCAGUGACCAUCAAGUCCUGAGUGGUAAGACCACCACCACCAAUUCCAAGAGAGAGGAGAAGCUUUUCAAUGUGACCAGCACACUGAGAAUCAACACAACAACUAAUGAGAUUUUCUACUGCACUUUUAGGAGAUUAGAUCCUGAGGAAAACCAUACAGCUGAAUUGGUCAUCCCAGGUAAUAUUCUGAAUGUGUCCAUUAAAAUAUGUCUAACACUGUCCCCUAGCACCUAGCAUGAUGUCUGCCUAUCAUAGUCAUUCAGUGAUUGUUGAAUAAAUGAAUGAUGAAUAACA